RNAcentral lists this ribosomal RNA (1003 nucleotides) under Weissella viridescens. RNAcentral's name for it is "bacterial SSU rRNA". It matches the Rfam family "Bacterial small subunit ribosomal RNA", at positions 63 to 1038 of the family's 1533-position model. Lineage: Bacteria; Bacillati; Bacillota; Bacilli; Lactobacillales; Lactobacillaceae. The record is from RNAcentral.
CUGAUUUGAAGAGCUUGCUCAGAUAUGACGAUGGACAUUGCAAAGAGUGGCGAACGGGUGAGUAACACGUGGGAAACCUACCUCUUAGCAGGGGAUAACACUUGGAAACAAGUGCUAAUACCGUAUAACACUAAUAACCGCAUGGUUAUUAGUUAAAAGAUGGUCUUGCUAUCACUAAGAGAUGGUCCCGCGGUGUAUUAGCUAGUUGGUAAGGUAAUGGCUUACCAAGGCAAUGAUACAUAGCCGAGUUGAGAGACUGAUCGGCCACAAUGGGACUGAGACACGGCCCAUACUCCUACGGGAGGCAGCAGUAGGGAAUCUUCCACAAUGGACGAAAGUCUGAUGGAGCAACGCCGCGUGUGUGAUGAAGGGUUUCGGCUCGUAAAACACUGUUGUAAGAGAAGAAUGACAUUGAGAGUAACUGUUCAGUGUGUGACGGUAUCUUACCAGAAAGGAACGGCUAAAUACGUGCCAGCAGCCGCGGUAAUACGUAUGUUCCAAGCGUUAUCCGGAUUUAUUGGGCGUAAAGCGAGCGCAGACGGUUAUUUAAGUCCGAAGUGAAAGCCCACAGCUUAACUGUGGAAGUGCUUUGGAAACUGGAUAACUUGAGUGCAGUAGAGGAGAGUGGAACUCCAUGUGUAGCGGUGAAAUGCGUAGAUAUAUGGAAGAACACCAGUGGCGAAGGCGGCUCUCUGGACUGUAACUGACGUUGAGGCUCGAAAGUGUGGGUAGCAAACAGGAUUAGAUACCCUGGUAGUCCACACCGUAAACGAUGAGUGCUAGAUGUUUGAGGGUUUCCGCCCUUAAGUGUCGCAGCUAACGCAUUAAGCACUCCGCCUGGGGAGUACGACCGCAAGGUUGAAACUCAAAGGAAUUGACGGGGACCCGCACAAGCGGUGGAGCAUGUGGUUUAAUUCGAAGCAACGCGAAGAACCUUACCAGGUCUUGACAUCCUUUGACCACUUCAGAGAUGAAGCUUUCCCUUCGGGGACAAAGUGACAGG